Molecule: long non-coding RNA, 2907 nt
Organism: Arachis duranensis
Lineage: Eukaryota; Viridiplantae; Streptophyta; Magnoliopsida; Fabales; Fabaceae
Exons: 2
Source: RefSeq, a predicted model, not a curated record
AACUGUGAACUUUGUUGAAUAAUCAUUGUUAGUUAAAGCUGUGAAUUUUGUUGUUGUUACUUGUUACUGAGUUGAAUAAUUAUUGACUAAUUUGCAGUGGGUUUUUGUGAACCUGUGAUUGAUGAUGAAUUGAUGAUUGAUGACUCUGUCGUUGCCCAUUGCUCACUGCUUUUUUGCUUAAAUUAAAAAUCUUGUUAAUCUUGUUCAUUAAAUUGAGGAUUGAUGAUUAAAUUGUUAACAGAACCCACUUUACAAAAAAUCAAGAAUAUCUAAGCUGUGAAUUUAUCUUGCUACCAGGACCAACACAGAUGCUAAUAGAAAACUGUUACUAAACUAUGGAUUUUUUGUCAAAUGGUUGAUAUUUUUAGGUUGGUGAUUAUAAUAGGAAAUACAGGGAAGCUUAGGAUUAAAAAUGGAUUGGGAGAUUGCAGACUUGACUCUGCAGUUUUGAUAAUGCCAUUUCCAACAAGCUUCCAAUUUGUUUAUGUAGUUCGUGUCUCUACUUGUCAAUUGUUGUAUAUAUGAAUGUGUGAUAUAUGUUGUUUGUCUCUCUGUUCUCUCUUCCUUUUUAUCUUUUGUUGAUUGUGGUAGAGUUGUUUGCCUAUGUUUAUUCACUAAAGUAUUUGUAUUUUGAUAAGAUCAUAUGGCUGGGUUUGGAUGAUGACAUUUUAUGUAAUAUUUUAAAAUUUAUAUUAAACUAUAAUUAUAUUUUAGAAUGUUUAUUUAUAAUUUAUCUAUUAUUUUAUUAUAAAAUGGUUUUUCCGGUUGAACCUUGAACCACGGUUAGACCGGUUAGACCAGUAAACCAGUGAAUCAGUGACUAGAGCGGUUUAAUAACCGGUCCGGUUUUUAAAACCUUGGAAAAAUCUCCACUCUUGCUUAUGUGAAGCUUGGGUAAGGUGAGGAUAUGAUAAUUCUAUUUUAUUUUCAUUGAAUUUGAACUUUGAGUAUUAAAUUGGAUAUAUAUUUGUUAUGAAUGUGUAUUAGGUUGUGAAUAAAUAAUUGGAACUUGAAAUUGUGAAUACUGGAACUUGGAGGAAGCGGAUUAGUUGAGUUUUGAGGGGCUGCCUUGGUUUUGAAUAAAUAGCUUUGGUCGUUAUGUGGAAAUCGGCCAAGGUAUGGUUUAGGUUUCUUGCAUUUAAUAUAUAAUGUUCUGUAAAAACUUAGGCUAGAUGACCAUAGGAUAAGUUGGAAUGUAGGAGUAUAUUUAAUAUUUAGUAAUUUGUCGAUGAAUAUAUUUGGUUGAAGUUUAUUGGAUAAUUAGUUAUUAAUUUUGGAUGGUGAAUGUUGUUAUGUUAAUUUGGAGAUAAUUAUGGUUGAAUGUUAUUGUUGAUGAACAUGGUUGAUUUGGUGCUCGUUGAUUUACUAAUGAUUUGAUGAAUUAUUGAUUUGAGGUAUAACUAUUGUGGAGGUUGUUGUGAUAAUGAGGUAUUUUGUGUUAGAAGCCUAAGAUUAGUGAACUAUGAUCCUUAGUUGAAUUUUGGUUGUUGGAUUUGAAUAUUGUAUGAGUAUAAUUGUUGAUCUAAGGUAGAUUUAUUGUGGUGACUGUUAUGAUGAUGAGGAAGGGUAUGUUGAAUUGAAAAGAAAGCAGGUUUGGAACCGAAAAAGGUGGCAAAGUCUGAGUUUUAGAGGAGAUGCUGCCGAAAUUUUAUGAAAAUUAGAGAUUUUGUUUAUAUGAUUAUUUAAAAAGAUUUAGAUUCAAAGGUUAUAUGGUUUGAUUUAGAGUUAUUUAGAAAAUGAGCAUGUUUUAAGUUUGAUUCAUUUAGAAAAGAAUGAAUUAUGUUUUGAAUUGGAACUAUUGAUGGACGGAAUGGGAGGUGUGAUAAUGAAGGAUAAGGAUUGAAUAUGAUUGACGUAUAAUGAUGAGUGAGAUGUGAUUGAGAAUGAUGUGGAUGUUGAUGAAUUAUAAUUGAAUUAUUUAUAUAGCUUAUGAAUUUAAAUAAUAUGAGAUACGAGAUUCCCUGGAUCAAGUGCCGUGGCUUGCCACCACGUGUACCAGGUUGAAAACUCGAUACUCUGUUGACCCUACGACGUAAGUGUGACCGGACACUAUAUAAAUUCCCGGGAAUGUUACCCCCAUUGUGCAAUAUUGAUUAUUUGAGAAAAAGCUAUGCAUAGACUCAAUGGGAUGCACGUCGGGGGACAGUCUAAGGACAAUUCAGACUUGUCGAGUUGGCUAGAUAACUGACAGAUGAGCCUCAUAAGCCAUAAGACAGGCAUGCAUCAUAUGCAUAUUACUUGAAUUACUUGCUUGUGCUUUAAUUGGGUGUGCCUAUAUGUACUUGCCAUGCUAAAUGUGUGUUUGUUACCUGUAAUAACUGUAACCUUCUUGUGUUUGCCUUAUUUGUCUAUUUGUCUGUGAGAAUGCAUGAAGGAGUUGGAGGUAUGGAAGAAUGGCAGUAUGGGACAUAGAUUUAAGGUUAAGUUAAGUUAGGAUUAAAUAUUUUUAGAAAAUCACCUUUUAUGGCUAAUGUUUAAUACUUUAAGCACUUUAAUCUGAGUGUCGGCGUUCUAGGAUUGCCUCUGGCAUUCCCAGGGCCUUAUAUAUUAUGUGUGUGGCACCUUUACCAUACUGAGAACCUCUGGCUCUCAUUCCAUACUAUGUUGUUGUUUUUCAGAUGCAGGUCGAGAGGCAUCUCGUUAGGCGUCUGGACUCUUAAAGCGGAGGGGUUACUGGGUAGUUUUGUUGUAAAGAUAUAAAUAAAUAUGUACUUAGCUUUCUCUCCGCUUAACUUGUUCUUUUUUAUCCUCUUAGAGGUUUAUGGAGAGGCAGGAUUAUGUAUAUGUACUUUGGGUUUUGGAUAUGUAUGUAUAUAUAUGUAAAUAUUCUCCGGCCAGUCUUAACUUCGCGGCUAAGUUAGGAGCUUGUUAUUUUGUAUCUUUGGCAAUCUAUUCCUACUUCUGUUA